CAUAUACCAAAACCCAAAGCUCUGUAGAGCCAUUUUCCCACACUUUCCCUCAUUUUCCCACCUUCCAAACAGAAGCUAGAAAGAUUUCCAAUGUCGAGUCAGAACGUGUCACGACAAGAUUGGAGAAACUUAGCGCAAUCAAACCAACCGUUUAAUCCACAAGCAACAUGGGAUACCAGUGGUAAUGAAAUACAACUGACCAUGCAACUUUCAGGGUUUUCAAGGGAUCAUUUACGAAUCAAUUUGAACACGAGUACAAAUACUCUUAUAGUUGCGGGACAAAAAUCCGAUGGCUUCAAUGUCACUCGUUUGAAUGAACGCAUACCAAUUAAUGAAGAUUGCUCAUUGGAUGGAGUCCGUGCAAAAUUUCUCAAUAACACUCUUACUGUAAUAUUUAAAAAAAAGAAAAAUUAAUCUCUAUUUCAUCCAAAUGAUCAUGAUUUACCUGAAUAAUAAAGUUUCAACUUUUAUAUAUCUGCACCAAAGUCAGCGUGUAGAGAAUUUGUAUUUAGAAUUGUAAUCAGAUCAUGCGUACAAGUUGACAAUGUUAUUGUAUACAUUGUACUGUAUUGACUUGUAUGUAUCUCGAAAUGAAGAACAAUAUCGUUUGUUAUGUAAAAUAAAAACAUUUGUGAGAAAGCACUUCAAAAAAAAAAAGGUGUGCCAUUCCUUCA
Momordica charantia (bitter melon) is the source of this 674-nucleotide long non-coding RNA. RefSeq lists it as uncharacterized. The record is from RefSeq and is a predicted model, not a curated record. NCBI's taxonomy places the organism in Eukaryota, Viridiplantae, Streptophyta, Magnoliopsida, Cucurbitales, Cucurbitaceae.